UACGUAGGUCCCGAGCGUUGUCCGGAUUUAUUGGGCGUAAAGCGAGCGCAGGUGGUUUAUUAAGUCUGGUGUAAAAGGCAGUGGCUCAACCAUUGUAUGCAUUGGAAACUGGUAGACUUGAGUGCAGGAGAGGAGAGUGGAAUUCAUGUGUAGCGGUGAAAUGCGUAGAUAUAUGGAGGAACACCGGUGGCGAAAGCGGCUCUCUGGCCUGUAACUGACACUGAGGCUCGAAAGCGUGGGGAGCAAACAGG
RNAcentral lists this ribosomal RNA (251 nucleotides) under uncultured bacterium. RNAcentral's name for it is "partial 16S ribosomal RNA". It matches the Rfam family "Bacterial small subunit ribosomal RNA", at positions 524 to 776 of the family's 1533-position model. The record is from RNAcentral.